AGGCUUCUGGGGGAUACUGACGAACUUGGAACCGGGAGAGGUAAGACGGUACUUCGGGGGUAGGAGUGAAAUCUUGUAAUCCUUGAGGGACCACCGAUGGCGAAGGCGUCUUACCAGAACGGGUUCGACGGUGAGGGACGAAAGCUGGGGGAGCGAACCGGAUUAGAUACCCGGGUAGUCCCAGCCGUAAACGAUGCUCGCUAGGUGUGUGGGAUGGUGCGACCG
RNAcentral lists this ribosomal RNA (225 nucleotides) under uncultured methanogenic archaeon. RNAcentral describes it as "partial 16S ribosomal RNA". It matches the Rfam family "Archaeal small subunit ribosomal RNA", at positions 568 to 791 of the family's 1478-position model. Lineage: Archaea; Methanobacteriati; Methanobacteriota. The record is from RNAcentral.